RNAcentral lists this non-coding RNA (108 nucleotides) under Thermotalea metallivorans. RNAcentral's name for it is "SAM-I sequence". It matches the Rfam family "SAM riboswitch aptamer (S box leader)". From Rfam's summary of the family: The SAM riboswitch is found upstream of a number of genes which code for proteins involved in methionine or cysteine biosynthesis in Gram-positive bacteria. The SAM riboswitch acts at the level of transcription termination control. The record is from Rfam by way of RNAcentral. Lineage: Bacteria; Bacillati; Bacillota; Clostridia; Peptostreptococcales; Thermotaleaceae.
CUCUUAUCCAGAGAGGUGGAGGGACUGGCCCUAUGAAACCCGGCAACCGGCUUUAUCAUAAAGCAUCGGUGCCAAUUCCUGCGGUACGAUUGUACCGACAGAUGAGAG